Molecule: non-coding RNA, 1438 nt
Organism: Podarcis muralis (Common wall lizard)
Lineage: Eukaryota; Metazoa; Chordata; Lepidosauria; Squamata; Lacertidae
Source: RefSeq, a predicted model, not a curated record
UCCAAAGAAGGAUCUUUCCUGGUGUUUUCUUUUACUCUCUCUCUGGAUCUGAGGACGCGGGCCAACGAUUCCCUGGCAUGGACUAGGCUCAGCCUACAUCUUGGUUCCCUGACCGGGAAUCUGCCCCACCUCAGAGGGCUGGAGAGAGCCAGGCUCAACCUGGUGGACAGCUCAGAUCGGUGAUUGCAGGCUCCACGCGCGCACCUGCCAAUUUGUGGGGGGAACCAGCCACACCGCUCCAGAGCAAGGACCCAGGUCGAGGGAGGAAAGAGGACUGGCCAGGGAAGGGACUCUGCAGCAGAAAACGGUGAGCUUUUGCUGGAACGCCUUGUGCUUUGGUCGAGCCUCUGCAUCCCUAUGAUGAGGACCCAGAUUGGACCCAGACGCCCAGACAUCGCUCCAGCCUUGUUGGAAGGGACCCAAGAUGCCCAACGCCCACCAGACGACCCGACACCCACCAGACUACAGCCCUGCCUACGUCACUCCGGACGCUGACGCUUGGCACGGCUCCAGGAUCCAGCAUGGAUUGAAAGAGAACAUUUUCACAUUUUCUUUUCUUUCCUUUCGCAUAACUGAACUUUAUUGAAGGUACCUGGGCCUGGUUUGCUUUACGCCACCCCUGCAGAGGAGGGUGUCUAGUGGAUCUUUUCUUUCAGCGUAAUUACACCCCAGCCCACUCUCUAGCACUUACCUAAGCCCUCCCCGUGCAUACAAUGGCUCAAAUACGACUGUGGGUCCCCAUGCUGGUAUUUCUGCUGCCUUUGACCUUUGAAAUGCCAAUACCACUCACAGUGACCAGACAACUGCUGCAAUCGUGGGGGGCCCACCACACAUAUAAUAAGUGGAUUCAGGUUGCUGAGAUGGUUGCGUUCUCUGCAAAUCGGACCAAUUGUGCCGUCUGCACUCUGGCCCCUGUAGAUGCUCUGGGAGGAAUGCCACUCCUCCCUGUGCCUUGGAAUGAAUCCUUGGUUACAACUCCACUUGUUGCCUUCCAGCCUCUGGGCAACCAUUCUUCUUUAUGGAAUCAUUCCGUCCCUUUCCAGGUUCACAGGAUCACUGGCUGCCUUUGUGUCAACAAAUCAAAUGACACAAGUGACGCUCAGACCUAUGUGGGCACUUCCCACUGUGAUCGUACCUUCCCAGCCCCGACUAACAUGUUUGAGUCCGAGGCAGGAACCUUUUCUGGUUCCAAUUUGAUUGCAUGCCUGGCCCGCUUGCUGAGAGGCACCAUAUCUGCCCAUGGUCAGGACGUUUACUGGGUGUGUGGCAGGAAGGCCUAUCAUGCCCUCCCAAGAGGAUGGUAUGGGGUCUGUUUUCCAGCCUACUUAAUACCCCCCAUGUGGAUUCCUGACCAGAUUGCCUCUGCACCCCGUAGAAGGAGGCGUUCGGCUGACCUGGCACCACUUGCAGGUGGCAACUCCCAGAAUUGGGGCAAAAA